UAGUCCACGCAGUAAACGAUGAAUGCUAGAUGUUGGAAACAUUAGUUUUCAGUAUCGCAGCUAACGCAUUAAGCAUUCCGCCUGGGAAGUACGGCCGCAAGGCUAAAACUCAAAUGAAUUGACGGGGACCCGCACAAGCGGUGGAUCAUGUGGUUUAAUUCGAAGCAACGCGAAGAACCUUACCGGCCCUUGACAUACCAAUCGCGAACUUAAGAGAUUAAGUUUUUCACUUCGGGUGGAUUGGAUACAGGUGCUGCAUGGCUGUCGUCAGCUCGUGUCGUGAGAUGUUGGGUUAAGUCCCGCAACGAGCGCAACCCUCGUGGAUAGUUGUUUUCUUUAUCCAGACUGCUUUUACAAGAGGAAGUGGGGAUGACGUCAAAUCAUCAUGGCUCUUACACCUAGGGGCUACACACACGCUACAAUGGGACAGUACAGACGGUUGCUAAGUCGCAAGAUGGAGCCAAUCCGAUAAAGCU
RNAcentral lists this ribosomal RNA (476 nucleotides) under uncultured bacterium. RNAcentral's name for it is "bacterial SSU rRNA". It matches the Rfam family "Bacterial small subunit ribosomal RNA", at positions 791 to 1283 of the family's 1533-position model. The record is from RNAcentral.